Molecule: ribosomal RNA, 1022 nt
Filed under: Neohelicascus griseoflavus
Lineage: Eukaryota; Fungi; Ascomycota; Dothideomycetes; Pleosporales; Morosphaeriaceae
Description: SSU rRNA
Rfam family: Eukaryotic small subunit ribosomal RNA
Source: RNAcentral
UUAUACCGUGAAACUGCGAAUGGCUCAUUAAAUCAGUUAUCGUUUAUUUGAUAGUACCUUACUACUUGGAUAACCGUGGUAAUUCUAGAGCUAAUACAUGCUGAAAACCCCGACUUCGGAAGGGGUGUAUUUAUUAGAUAAAAAGCCAAUGCCCUUCGGGGCUCUUUGGUGAUUCAUGAUAACUUCUCAGAUCGCAUGGCCUUGCGCCGGCGACGGUUCAUUCAAAUUUCUGCCCUAUCAACUUUCGAUGGUAAGGUAUUGGCUUACCAUGGUUUCAACGGGUAACGGGGAAUUAGGGUUCGAUUCCGGAGAGGGAGCCUGAGAAACGGCUACCACAUCCAAGGAAGGCAGCAGGCGCGCAAAUUACCCAAUCCCGACACGGGGAGGUAGUGACAAUAAAUACUGAUACAGGGCUCUUUUGGGUCUUGUAAUUGGAAUGAGUACAAUUUAAACCUCUUAACGAGGAACAAUUGGAGGGCAAGUCUGGUGCCAGCAGCCGCGGUAAUUCCAGCUCCAAUAGCGUAUAUUAAAGUUGUUGCAGUUAAAAAGCUCGUAGUUGAACCUUGGGCCUGGCUGGCAGGUCCGCCUCACCGCGUGUACUUGACCGGCCGGGCCUUCUCUUCUGGAGAACCUCAUGCCCUUUACUGGGCGUGUUGGGGACCAGGACUUUUACUUUGAAAAAAUUAGAGUGUUCAAAGCAGGCCUUUGCUCGAAUAUGUUAGCAUGGAAUAAUAGAAUAGGACGUGCGGUCCUAUUUUGUUGGUUUCUAGGACCGCCGUAAUGAUUAAUAGGGACAGUCGGGGGCAUCAGUAUUCAAUUGUCAGAGGUGAAAUUCUUGGAUUUAUUGAAGACUAACUACUGCGAAAGCAUUUGCCAAGGAUGUUUUCAUUAAUCAGUGAACGAAAGUUAGGGGAUCGAAGACGAUCAGAUACCGUCGUAGUCUUAACCAUAAACUAUGCCGACUAGGGAUCGGGCGAUGUUUCAAUAUUGACUCGCUCGGCACCUUACGAGAAAUCAAAGUG